Molecule: ribosomal RNA, 1478 nt
Filed under: uncultured Bordetella sp.
Lineage: Bacteria; Pseudomonadati; Pseudomonadota; Betaproteobacteria; Burkholderiales; Alcaligenaceae
Description: partial 16S-23S ribosomal RNA intergenic spacer
Rfam family: Bacterial small subunit ribosomal RNA
Source: RNAcentral
GGUUUGAUCAUGGCUCAGAUUGAACGCUGGCGGGAUGCUUUACAUGCAAGUCGAACGGCAGCACGGACUUCGGUCUGGUGGCGAGUGGCGAACGGGUGAGUAAUGUAUCGGAACGUGCUAGUAGCGGGGGAUAACUACGCGAAAGCGUAGCUAAUACCGCAUACGCCCUUCGGGGGAAAGCGGGGGGGACCUUCGGGCCUCGCACUAUUAGAGCGGCCGAUAUCAGUUAGCUAGUUGGUGGGGUAACGGCUCACCAAGGCGACGAUCCGUAGCUGGUUUGAAGGACGACCAGCCACACUGGGACUGAGACGGCCCGAACUCCUACGGGAAGCAGCAGUGGGGAAUUUGGACAAUGGGGAAACCCUGAUCCAGCCAUCCCGCGUGUGCGAUGAAGGCCUUCGGGUUGUAAAGCACUUUUGGCAGGAAAAGAAACGGCACGGGAUAUUACCCCGUGCAACUGACAGUACCUGCAGAAUAAGCACCGGCUAACUACGUGCCAACAGCCGCGGUAAUACGUAGGAGUGCAAGCGUUAAUCGGAGUUACUGGGCGUAAAGCGUGCAGGCGGUCCGGAAAGAAGAUGUGAAAUCCCAGAGCUUAACUUUGGAACUGCAUUUUUAACUACCGAGCUAGAGUGUGUCAGAGGGAGGUGGAAUUCCGCGUGUAGCAAGUGAAAUGCGUAGAUAUGCGGAGGAACACCGAUGGCGAAAGAGCAGCCUCCUGGGAUAACACUGACGCUCAUGCACAACGUGGGGAGCAAACAGGAUUAGAUACCCUGGUAGUCCACGCCCUCUAAACGAUGUCAACUAGCUGUUGAGACCUUCGGGCCUUGUUAAUGCAACUAACAUGAAGUUGACCGCCUGGGGAGUACAGUCGCGAGAUUAAAACUCAAAGGAAUUGACGGGGACCCACAGAAGCGGUGGAUGAUGUGGAUUAAUUCGAUGCAACGCGAAAAACCUUACCUACCCUUGACAUGUCUGGAAUCCCGAAGAGAUUUGGGAGUGCUCGCAAGAGAACCGGGAGACACAGGUGCUGCAUGGCUGUCGUCAGCUCGUAUCGUGAGAUGUUGGGUUAAGUCCCGCAACGAGCGCAACCCUUGUCAUUAGUUGCUACGAAAGGACACUCUAAUGAGACUGCCGGUGACAAACCGGAGGAAGGUGGGGAUGACGUCAAGUCCUCAUGGCCCUUAUGGGUAGGGCUUCACACGUCAUACAAUGGUCGGGACAGAGGGUCGCCAACCCGCGAGGGGAGCCAAUCCCGAAACCCGAUCGUAGUCGGAUCGCAGUCUGCAGCUCACGACUGCGUGAAGUCGGAAUCGCUAACAAUCGCGGAUCAGCAUGUCGCGGUGAAUACGUUCCCGGGUCUUGUACACACCGCCCGUCACCAUGGGAGUGGGUUUUACCAGAAGUAGUUAGCCUAACCGUAAGGAGGGCGAUUACCACGGUAAGUUCAUGACUGGGGUGAAGUCGUAACAAGGUAG